UACUGCAUCAGGAACUGACUGGAUAAGACUUAAUCCCCAUCAGUUCCUAAUGCAUUGCC
Molecule: microRNA precursor, 59 nt
Filed under: Mus musculus (house mouse)
Lineage: Eukaryota; Metazoa; Chordata; Mammalia; Rodentia; Muridae
Description: Mmu-Mir-217-v1_pre stem-loop
Source: RNAcentral